RNAcentral lists this ribosomal RNA (330 nucleotides) under uncultured eukaryote. RNAcentral's name for it is "partial 18S ribosomal RNA". It matches the Rfam family "Eukaryotic small subunit ribosomal RNA", at positions 1470 to 1796 of the family's 1831-position model. The record is from RNAcentral.
CCCUUAGAUGUUCUGGGCCGCACGCGCGCUACACUGAUGCAUUCAACGAGUCUAAAACCUGGUCUGAUAGGGCUGGGUAAUCUUUUGAAAGUGCAUCGUGAUUGGGAUAGAUGAUUGCAAUUCUUCAUCUUCAACGAGGAAUGCCUAGUAAACGCAAGUCAUCAGCUUGCAUUGAUUACGUCCCUGCCCUUUGUACACACCGCCCGUCGCUCCUACCGAUUGAAUGAUCCGAUGAAUACCAUGGAUUGAGAGUACGAAUGGGUUCGCCCAUUUCUGCUGCUCGAGAAGUGGAGUAAAUCUUAUCAUUUAGAGGAAGGAGAAGUCGUAACA